Molecule: ribosomal RNA, 428 nt
Filed under: Reticulitermes flavipes (eastern subterranean termite)
Lineage: Eukaryota; Metazoa; Arthropoda; Insecta; Blattodea; Rhinotermitidae
Description: partial 16S ribosomal RNA
Rfam family: Archaeal large subunit ribosomal RNA
Source: RNAcentral
CGCCUGUUUAUCAAAAACAUCUCUUCUCGUUAGUUUUUGAAGUAUGGCCUGCCCACUGACCUUGAAUGUUGAAGGGCCGCGGUAUUUUGACCGUGCAAAGGUAGCAUAGUCAUUAGUUCUUUAAUUGUGAUCUGGUAUGAAUGGCUUGACGAGGCAUAGGCUGUCUUAAUUUUGAAUUGUUUAUUGAAUUUGGUCUUUGAGUUAAAAUUCUUAGAUGUUUUUAUGGGACGAGAAGACCCUAUAGAGUUUGACAUUUAUUAUGGUCUCUUUCUGUUUGUGAGGGUUCACUAGGGCUGUUUAAUAUGUUUUGUUGGGGUGAUGGGAGGGAUAUUAUUUAACCCCUCCUUUGUGUUGUUAUAUUUAUUUAUAUUUGCUUGAUCCAUUUAUUUUGAUUGUAAGAUUAAAUUACCUUAGGGAUAACAGCGUAA